GUGGGGACCAGUGAUUUUUCAAACCAUCGCGUUGACAUUUGCAGGACCUACAAUCAAUUUUAAGGCGAUUUUAGGUUGCGGCAGGUUUCAGUUGCAGGAACCGGUAAAAUAUUAGUACCAGGACCUUUUGGCUCGAAGGACAUCGACUGUUUGUCUGUCUGUUCCCGUGGCCCUCAGUCUAUUCUGUUGCCACAGAUAGUGAAGCGAUCGAUCUCCAACAAAUCUUUCUUGGGGGUUCUGUUGUCAGGAUACAGACAUAGAGCACGGCCAUCAGGAAGUGAGGAAUCACACCUAUGUGUGCUCUCUUCUUCUCCUUUGGUUCGGUCGCCGUCCAGUACAGAGCAUCCAGAAUGUCCUGACCAAAUGAUGAGAACAGCCGAUCGGCCACCUGAUAAGAUGGAAAAUAACGACAACAAAGUUUGAUGACAGACUGUCCCCUGAUGAGGUGGUACAUCAUGGCGUAGUCCACAUAGCUCAUCAUGGAAUAACACAACACCAUGAUGAAGCCUUUCAACACAUCACACACCUGGGCUGGUUGCAACAGACGUGAACCACUAAAAAAAAUCAAGGAAAAAAAAUUACAAAACACAG
Cynoglossus semilaevis (tongue sole) is the source of this 591-nucleotide long non-coding RNA. RefSeq lists it as uncharacterized. The transcript is spliced from 4 exons. The record is from RefSeq and is a predicted model, not a curated record. Lineage: Eukaryota; Metazoa; Chordata; Actinopteri; Pleuronectiformes; Cynoglossidae.